Vicia faba (fava bean) is the source of this 234-nucleotide non-coding RNA. The record is from the annotation of a GenBank genome assembly. NCBI's taxonomy places the organism in Eukaryota, Viridiplantae, Streptophyta, Magnoliopsida, Fabales, Fabaceae.
AUGAAGGAGAGAAAGGGUUUGCAACGACUUACCUAUUGGAGACACUCCGAUGGUGAUUUGAUAGUGACGAAGGUGAGAAGACCAGAGAUGAAGAUUGCUAAGCCCAGAAAGAUUAAAGGUGCAGAAGAUGAUGAUGCUCGAAGGAUUAUGCAGAGUUUGAAAAUUGGAGAAAUAGAUCAAGGUUUGCAAAUUAUUGGCAAGGGUUUUGGAAAUAUCUGUUUUGGUAGACUGUAA